Molecule: small RNA, 584 nt
Filed under: Pan troglodytes (chimpanzee)
Lineage: Eukaryota; Metazoa; Chordata; Mammalia; Primates; Hominidae
Description: processed transcript
Source: RNAcentral
UCCAGACAAAUAAACAUGGAGUCCAUCUUCCACGAGAAACAAGAAGGCUCACUUUGUGCUCAGCAUUGCCUGAAUAACUUAUUGCAAGGAGAAUAUUUUAGCCCUGUGGAAUUAUCCUCAAUUGCACAUCAGCUGGAUGAGGAGGAGAGGAUGAGAAUGGCAGAAGGAGGAGUUACUAGUGAAGAUUAUCGCACGUUUUUACAGCAGCCUUCUGGAAAUAUGGAUGACAGUGGUUUUUUCUCUAUUCAGGUUAUAAGCAAUGCCUUGAAAGUUUGGGGUUUAGAACUAAUCCUGUUCAACAGUCCAGAGUAUCAGAGGCUCAGGAUCGAUCCUAUAAAUGAAAGAUCAUUUAUAUGCAAUUAUAAGGAACACUGGUUUACAGUUAGAAAAUUAGGAAAACAGGUCCCUAUAUAAUGAAAAAGAAGGCUGGAAAAAGAUUGUCAAAAUCCAGGAAAAAUAGUUGGUCAUGAUAUUGAUCGUUAACUUUAGAAACUUUUUGUAUCUUGUGGGUUAAAUUAGGAUUACUAUGUGGUAGUGAUAAAUGAUGUUAAUUAGGGCCGAGUGCAGUGGCUAACACCUGUAAU